RNAcentral lists this unclassified non-coding RNA (749 nucleotides) under Hevea brasiliensis (rubber tree). Lineage: Eukaryota; Viridiplantae; Streptophyta; Magnoliopsida; Malpighiales; Euphorbiaceae. The record is from RNAcentral.
UCGAAUCACCUUAUCUUACAACUGCAGGCUAGGUAAGCAAAUAUACAUCAAAUUCUGGAUCCAAACUACAGUACUGGUAGCUGUUGCUUAUGAUUUUGGUCCCUCUAUCUCUAUGUAUAUUGCUGUCUCUAAAAGAAUCAAGAAUUCCCCAAUCAGAGAUUUAACAACAGGAUUGAGCCAUUACACAUACAUCCCCCAGACCAUUAGAAACAGCUCCUUGUAGUACACGUUUUACAAUUAUCCGACUUUUGUAUUGUUAUAAAUCAACGAACCUUGUCGAGUUCCAGUAUGAAUACCCAGGACAGAAUUUACUUUACCCUUGUAUCUGGAGCAGCAGCAUUGUCCUAGCAUUGGAUCCCCCACCAUUGUCACCAAAUGAAUGAGGUUCCUAUGCCAGAUUUCGUGUCAAAAAAUCAUUAACAGCAAGACUGGCAUCUCCAUGUGACACAGCAUCUUCAGGUUCUGGCAUAUAGAGAGUUGACACAGAUGCCUUUGCAUCAAACUGCAUCUCUCCAGGAUUAUCGGAAGUGAGGCAUGCGCCAUGGGCUUUCAACCAUUCCACACAAUCCUCAACACCAUCUGUGUCCUCACUUUCUUCACUUGUGAAGCCUAAAACUUGGGCAAUGUAGGUGACCGGAACAGUAGGCCGAUUCGAGCGAGACAUACAUCUAACUGCCGCAUAUCGCAUUUUAUCAGCAUAUAGAUCCAUAAGACACGUGUUAAGAUUAGGAGCUGUCUUGUAUAAUCUG